Molecule: long non-coding RNA, 1824 nt
Filed under: Mus caroli (Ryukyu mouse)
Lineage: Eukaryota; Metazoa; Chordata; Mammalia; Rodentia; Muridae
Description: lncRNA (MGP_CAROLIEiJ_G0006628.1)
Source: RNAcentral
CACAACUUGUCAUCCAUUUACUUCAUCUACCCACAUUACUAUAACUAAACCUAACCAAUACCAAACAUUGGGCACUAGCUAUCUGGUAAUAAAAAAACUUCAACUUUGGGGCAGGAAAGGAUGUCUCCAAGGUCAACAACUCAUAAUAAGCUAAUUCUCUGACAGCCAGGGCUAUAGACCCAGUUUCAAAAAGAAAAAAACAUACCAAGAAAGCACAUACUGGUCCUAUUAAUUCCCAGCACCCACAACAUGCGAUUAACUGCCUGUAAUAACUACCUCCAAGCGAUCCCACAGUCCUCUAGUCUCUGCACAUACCCACACCUAACAUGCAAACAAUACACACAUAAAUGAAUUUUUAAAAAGUAGAAACAAAAAAAGCUUUCUAAUAUAUUAGCACCCUAGUAUGUGAAAGAGUGCUUCUCAAACCAAAGUUAACACAUCAAAUAGCAUGUCAAAAGAGUUCAUAUCCAGGCCUAAGAAUUCCCACACAUAUACCAGGUGUAACAAAACACUGCCCAAAGAGCACUUGGAACAUUCAACCUUCAGAGCAUGCCUACUCCUUCAAUGCAGUCAGGUGAGCCUCCAAUAGAGCCAUGAUUCCCUGCCUCUAGUCACUAACUCUGAAGAUGUAUAAUUCAUCUCUAGGUGGUCAGUCUGGUAACACAGAGCAAGUACACCAGGACAGCCUGGGCUACACAGGGGAACUACACUUCAGCACAAACUUUAACUUAUGACUUAGGAGUUGAGGGGAAAGGGACACAACUCAGCAAGAAUCCACUUACCAGCUAGCUACAGGUCUCAAUGCUUCAGUUAUCACCUUCUAUACAAACGCAGAAAUUCUGGACAAAUCAGGUGCCUGUCUAUAAUCCCAGCAGUGGGAAAACUGGUAACUUCUGAUUUUUGGUUUUAGCUGUCCUGCAACUAGCUAGGCUGACAGUGAACUGAGUUCAGCCUGCCUCUCAAGUGCUGAGAAUAAAGGUAUUCGCCACCAUCCACCUAGGAUUCAUACUUUUAAAAAACUUUAUGUGCUAUGUACACCUCCAUGCCAGCACAACACAAAACCCAUCUUUGCCCAGGCAGUUUUAACUGUGACUGUUCUUUGCAAGUGAUAGUGUCACCUAUAAAUAGCAAGUUCAUGCUAAAGAACCAUGCAAUUGGUUGGAUGUGAUGAUACACCUCAUCUUUAAUUGGAGAAAAGUGAGACUUUAUUUAAAGCAUGUUACUUACAUGCUGGGGGUUGGUGAUACACACCUUUAAUCCCAAUACUAUGGAUGCAGAAGCAAACAGACCUCUGUUCAAGGCAAGCCUGGUCUAUAAAGAAAAACCCUACCUCAAAAAAAAGCAUGAUACAAAAAUAACAGCAUGUUUCAGCUUACUGUUUGUGAUACAUUCUGAGACAUGAUGCCUGCCUAUUUUGGGAAAAUUGUCUUUUUGGAGGGGGGUUGCAUGAUUGCAGUCCAUGUCGGCCUUGAACUUCUGAUCCUCUUACCUCCACACCCAAGUACCAGAAAUACAGAAAUCCAUAACCAUGCUCAACUGGUUUGCCUUAGCUAGCUUUGGGACAGGGUAUUACUAUGUAGCUCAAUCAAGCUGGAAGUUCUGCCUCCCCAGUGCUGGGAUUACCAAUGUUUUCAGUUCUACAUACUAAUUUGAAUAUUCAACAGAUGUUGCUAAAUCUGAGUUGUUGUUAAACAUAACAAGCAAAAAGGCGUUACCACUCACUGGCUUCACCAGUUUCCCUUUAUCAUUCAACUUCCCUUAAAAGAACUGUAGCCAGGAAGGGCACACACCUUUAAUCCUAGCACCCAGGAGGCAGUUUCAAGG